Molecule: ribosomal RNA, 303 nt
Filed under: Triticum aestivum (bread wheat)
Lineage: Eukaryota; Viridiplantae; Streptophyta; Magnoliopsida; Poales; Poaceae
Description: partial small subunit ribosomal RNA
Source: RNAcentral
UUGCUCUGUAACGGAGUUGGCAACGCACAUUGCUCAACGAUCAAUGAGAACAGCGUCGAUCUGCACUCACUGCUUGAUUUCAAGAAGGGCAUCGCUAGCGAUCCUCAGAGAGCAUUGAGUAACUGGAACAACACAACCCACUUAUGUUGCUAGAAUGGUGUCAACUGCACCUCCACGGCACCACCGUUCAACGUCUCAUCACUUGUUCUUGCUAGCCAAAACUUAGCAGGCCAAAUUAGCUCCUCUCUAGGAAACCUAACUUUCCUCUUGACCUUUCGGGGAACUACUUUGUUGGCCUCAUAG